AUUGAACGCUGGCGGCAGGCCUACCACAUGCAAGUCGAGAGGAGCGGCGGACGGGUGAGUAAUGACUAGGAAUAUGCAUGGUAGUGGGGGAUAACGUCCGGAAAUGGGAGCUAAUACCGAUUACUAUCAGAUGAGCCUAGGUCGGAUUAGCUAGUUGGUGGGGUAAAGGCCUACCAAGGCGACGAUCCGUAACUGGUAUGAGAGGUUGAUCAGUCACACUGGAACUGAGACACGGUCCAGACUCCUACGGGAGGCAGCAGUGGGGAAGAUUGGACAAUGGGCGAAAGCCUUAUCCAGCCAUGCCGCGUGUGUGAAGAAGGUCUUCGGAUUGUAAAGCACUUUAAGUUGGGAGGCGUUACCAACAGAAUAAGCACCGGCUAACUUCGUGCCAGCCGCCGCGGUAAUAC
This 407-nucleotide ribosomal RNA is filed under the name uncultured bacterium. RNAcentral describes it as "partial 16S ribosomal RNA". It matches the Rfam family "Bacterial small subunit ribosomal RNA", at positions 30 to 526 of the family's 1533-position model. The record is from RNAcentral.